UCUCCGACUCCUUCAUCUUCUUCAGUGUCCUUCAUUCUUGUCCCUCGUCUUCUACGCUAUAUGAGUGGAUCACUGCAGCUGGAACGGAAAAAAGAGAGGAAGGACUUGCACAAACAUUCUUCCUUUUGCCAUCAUCACUGCAAAAGUUUGAUUAGAUUGUUGGCUUUAAUUUUUCUGGUCUGUCAAAAAAUUCUGGUGCAAGUGGAGCUUAUUUUGAUGCUUCUAUGGGAGAUU
Molecule: long non-coding RNA, 234 nt
Organism: Neltuma alba
Lineage: Eukaryota; Viridiplantae; Streptophyta; Magnoliopsida; Fabales; Fabaceae
Exons: 3
Source: RefSeq, a predicted model, not a curated record